UGCAUAUCAAAAGCGGAGGAAAAGAAACCAACAGGGAUUGCCUCAGUAGCGGCGAGUGAAGCGGCAAGAGCUCAGAUUUGAAAUCGUGCUUUGCGGCACGAGUUGUAGAUUGCAGGUUGGAGUCUGUGUGGAAGGCGGUGUCCAAGUCCCUUGGAACAGGGCGCCCAGGAGGGUGAGAGCCCCGUGGGAUGCCGGCGGAAGCAGUGAGGCCCUUCUGACGAGUCGAGUUGUUUGGGAAUGCAGCUCCAAGCGGGUGGUAAAUUCCAUCUAAGGCUAAAUACUGGCGAGAGACCGAUAGCGAACAAGUACUGUGAAGGAAAGAUGAAAAGCACUUUGAAAAGAGAGUGAAACAGCACGUGAAAUUGUUGAAAGGGAAGGGUAUUGCGCCCGACAUGGGGAUUGCGCACCGCUGCCUCUCGUGGGCGGCGCUCUGGGCUUUCCCUGGGCCAGCAUCGGUUCUUGCUGCAGGAGAAGGGGUUCUGGAACGUGGCUCUUCGGAGUGUUAUAGCCAGGGCCAGAUGCUGCGUGCGGGGACCGAGGACUGCGGCCGUGUAGUCACGGAUGCUGGCAGAACGGCGCAACACCGCCCGUCUUGAAUCACGGACC
RNAcentral lists this ribosomal RNA (606 nucleotides) under Pichia kudriavzevii. Its description in RNAcentral is "eukaryotic LSU rRNA". It matches the Rfam family "Eukaryotic large subunit ribosomal RNA", at positions 37 to 667 of the family's 3401-position model. Lineage: Eukaryota; Fungi; Ascomycota; Pichiomycetes; Pichiales; Pichiaceae. The record is from RNAcentral.